CUGCGGAAGGAUCAUUAUUGAAUAAACUUGAUAAGGUUGUUAGCUGGCAGGAUUUAUCUUGCAUGUGCACACCUUGUCAUAUUUAUAUUUCCACCUGUGCACUAUCUGUAGGCAGAAAAAAAGACUUAAAAUUUUGUUGGGAAAAGCUUUUGUUUUUCAAGAUCUUCAAAAACAACAAGGACUUGUCUGUUCAUUAUGAAUGGGCUUGCACUUGUGAGGGUUUUUGGAAUUUGGGAGCAAAUUCACUUCAUUUUUUCUGUUUUUCCACUGUCUAUGCUUUUAUAUACCCCUUAAAAAUGUAAUAGAAUGUCAUUAAUGGGCCUUUGUGCCUAUAACAAAAACUAUACAACUUUCAGCAACGGAUCUCUUGGCUCUCGCAUCGAUGAAGAACGCAGCGAAAUGCGAUAAGUAAUGUGAAUUGCAGAAUUCAGUGAAUCAUCGAAUCUUUGAACGCACCUUGCGCUCCUUGGUAUUCCGAGGAGCAUGCCUGUUUGAGUGUCAUUAAAUUCUCAAUCCUCAGCAGUUUUUACAAAUUGUUAAGGAUUGGACUUGGGGGGAUUUUUUUUGUUGGCGCAAGUCAACUCCCCUGAAAUGCAUUAGCUGGUUGCCUUGACUUUGUCUAUUGGUGUGAUAAUUAUCAACGCCAUUGGAUGGUCAUUAACGCACCGCUUCUAACCGUCCAUUCAUUUGGACAACAAUCUUUAUUGACAACUUGACCUCAAAUCAGGUAGGACUACCCGCUGAACUUAAGCAUAUCAAUAAGCGGAGGAAAAGAAACUAACAAGGAUUCCCCUAGUAACUGCGAGUGAAGCGGGAAAAGCUCAAAUUUAAAAUCUGGCAGCCUUUGGUUGUCCGAGUUGUAAUCUAGAGAAG
This 873-nucleotide ribosomal RNA is filed under the name Phaeocollybia sp. 1 LN-2017. RNAcentral describes it as "eukaryotic LSU rRNA". The stretch from base 348 to 501 matches the Rfam family "5.8S ribosomal RNA". Lineage: Eukaryota; Fungi; Basidiomycota; Agaricomycetes; Agaricales; Phaeocollybiaceae. The record is from RNAcentral.